CGGCGCAGUAUUUUGACUGUGCAAAGGUAGCAUAAUCAUUAGUCUUUUAAUUGAAGGCUUGUAUGAAUGGUUGGACGAAGUAUUAACUGUUUCAUAUAAAUUUAUAAUAAAAUUUUAUAUUUUAGUAAAAAAGCUAAAAUUUUAUUAAAAGACGAGAAGACCCUAUAAAUCUUUAUAUUUAAAUUUUUAUUAAAUUUUUUAAAUUUUUUUAAUUUAAUUUAAUUUAAAUAUUUUAUUGGGGUGAUAUUAAAAUUUAUAAAACUUUUAAUUUUUAAUAUUCAUUAAUUUAUGUUUUAUUGAUCUAUUAAUAAUGAUUAAAAGAAUAAGUUACUUUAGGGAUAACAGCGUAAUUUUUUUGGAGAGUUCUUAUUAAUAAAAAAGUUUGCGACCUCGAUGUUGGAUUAAGAAAUAAUUUUAGGUGUAGAAGCUUAAAAAAUUAAGUCUGUUCGACUUUUAAAUUCUUACAUGAUCUGAGUUCAGACCGGCGUAACCCAGGUUGGUUUCUAUCCUUAAUUUUUUGUAAUAUUUUAGUACGAAAGGACCAAAUAUUAAAUUUAUUAAACUGUUUUUUUAUUGAAAUUAAUUAGUUUAAUU
Molecule: ribosomal RNA, 594 nt
Filed under: Tomoplagia reimoseri
Lineage: Eukaryota; Metazoa; Arthropoda; Insecta; Diptera; Tephritidae
Description: partial 16S ribosomal RNA
Rfam family: Bacterial large subunit ribosomal RNA (bases 338-498)
Source: RNAcentral